CUAUGUAGUCAUGUUGCAAAAUGGUAGAGAACUUUUUUGUUCAGUUUGACUUAAUGUACAAGCGGCAGAGGGCGCCGUUGUAUUCAGACAUUAGUGCGCAAUGAUUGUUAUUUAUAAAUGAUAUACAAAAAUACUUUUCUUUAUCACCUAUAUAUAUGAUAAUACAGCAAUAUCUAAUCACAAUGCGUUCAACACGAAAAUGCGUAUACGUAUGUGCGCGUAUGUGUGUUCGACCUUGUCAUGUUUGCUGAUCGAAAGAUCUGAAAUUACUCUUUUUUUGUCAGUGUACACAGCAUUGAUAUCUCCGAUAUAUUGGUAUAUAUUGGUUAAUUUAGAAUAUCGUGUAAUACAUUAUACUUAUCUUUUAAUCUUAUGUUUAGAUCGUUCACGUGCGCGCGAGACAUUCUCACAGCUGUCAAACGUAAACUCUGAAUCAUGACGUGCGGGUACCUAAACAUAGUGCGCUCAGAAGUAUAUAAAUUGGAAGGUAUCAAUGACGCGGUAUGUACUUAGAUGGAUGCAUAGGAUGACUCGUUGAAUAUCGCUCAAGUCAAUGUCAAAGGUGCAAGGACUCUCCUCGAAGGAACGCGUCUCGGAUAUGUUAAUUUUGUGCGAAGUGUUAGGAAAAAACGAUAUAUGUUAUGAUGCCAUUUGCACUUUUUAGACGCACAUCGAUAGACAGAAUCAAUCAGUUACAAUCGCCGACUAGCCACAUCGAAUUGUUUCCGCGCUUAAUGGAUCUCACAGUAAGAAAUUAAGCACGCAAGUGAAAGGUGUUAAAGCAGCCUCGUAUGCAUGUGAGUAUGCGAAUCAAAGUCGUUGAAAAUUACAAAAGUUACGAUGCUACAUUUUUUGAACAUUUACUCCCGACGAAAUCGACGAAAGGAGAGAAAAAAGAGAACACACAGGCGGUUUGAGUUACUCGAAUCAGAUGUCGGGAAUUGGGACCCGCCGCUGAGACACGGGAAAACACGCUGAUUUCCACCGAUGGCGAUAAACGCGGCGACGACUGUCUUUUCGUGCUUUCGCCGGUGCAACCGUGCAACCGCCUAAUGACCUAAUAAAAUAUACAUAAUAAUCGAGCAGCUGACACUUGAGUCAGAGAAGAAUAAGCAAGGAAAUGUGAAAGCAGUUACGAAGAUACAGGGAAUCGGAGAUAAACGCAACAUCGCCGAGACGACGAGAUAAUAACUACAGGAGGCGACAAAUCGGAAGAUGGAUAUGACUAAAGGAUAAAACGGAUGAAUAACGCGGUAUAGAGGAGCACUGUCGCGAGCGUGGAUGUAGUUUUAUAAAUAAGACGCCAGGGAGGGGGGAGAGAGAGAGAAAGAACACGACGAAACACUUACUACUCCUAUACGCACGCGGAUUGCGGGUAUUGGGACACCACGUGUAAAAGUCGUGUCUUUGAGCCUGUUCUUUGUAGUUGAACUGGUGCAUACUUUGGGAACAUAAAGAGGAAUCCGUAUACAGCUGCGACUUGAUCUAAAAUAGAGAGAAAGAGAACUAGCGCAAGCUAGAGUGCAGCCAGUUGAUCUGCAAAGCACAGAGCAUUUGUUUCUCGACUCGAACAUUUCAUUCUAAUUCGACUGCCGUAACUCAGCUGCUUGACCCUCCCUAUUGAUUUCCUCUAAAUUCGGCAUAACACAGAGUCUGAGAGCCGGCGAGAGUAUCCUCGUUCUUCUUAUUACACAACGACGGUAAAUCAGAAGUACCAGAUCGGCGCCGACCCGCGUUUGUUCGCGAUCGGCUGUGUCGCUUAAUUGCACGAAAGAAAUCGCACGAGCCGAUCGAACGUCCAAAGGGGGCGUAUCGGGGACGUUUGUGCGACACGUCCUCGCUCUAUCGAGGACCAGCACGGCCAUUUCAGGAGAGUAACGAAGCGUGUCCUCAAAUAGCAAGAUACAACCGUGCGAGUUGUUACAGAAAAAAAUGAUUACGUUGCUCCGCAAUGUAUUCAGAGACUGACAAAGAGUCGUUAAAAUAUCUAAUCGUGACUUACGCUCAAAUGCAGAGAAAUAAGCACACGUAUCGGUACCUGAUCAUGUUGCUGUUUGAUAAAUUAAAUUGUUAGAUGCUCGUAAAAGUUCGUAAGGUCACAAGUAGAUGGCUGUAACAGCGACUUAAUAAUUGUUUCCCUUCAAGCUUCAGUGGCUUUUUAAUUUUUAAAGGUUAGCCAUGAAAAUUGAUGGUCGACAAUUCAUAGUUCCGAACAAAACGUUGCAUUUUGUCCGUUUCUACCAACUUUGGUUAACUUAACUGGCUGAUUAUUCCAAUGGAAUUGAUCAAUCGCAUUUCUCGUUAGUCAGAAUUGACAGAUGCGAUUGGUCAAUUCAUCGGAAUAACUAGCCGGUUAAGUUAAUCAAAGUUGGUAGAAAUAGAUAUUAAUGCAAUUGAGGAUGGAAGCAGAUAAAGUUCAUCUUCGCCAUUGCAUGCUUUACCACUUUAAUCGAGGUGAAACUGUCGCAACAACCAAGAGACUGAUUUGAGACCUAUGGAGAGAAUAUUGUGUUCGUUAUUGUCUGUGAAAAAUCGUUUGAAAGGUUAAGAACUGGUGAUUACAAUGUCAACGAUAAGUCACGCUUUGAUCGUCUAAACGAGAUAAAGAACAAUGAAUUGAAAGUAUUGCUCAACGAAAAAUCGUCACAAGCAUUAAAAGAGCUUGCGGGGCAGCUUGGAGUUGAUGAAUCAACAGUAUUCUGUCAUUUGAAAACAAUGGGAAAGAUGCCAAAAGAAGAUGAAAGACAAACGUUCCGCGUUGAAAAAAAUAGCCGCGAAUGGACGCAGAAUCAUCCUGCUUCACAACGCCAGGCAGUAUGUUGCCGUUGCGACUAAAGAGACGUUGUCCGAGUUGGAGAACUCCUUAGAAUUGAGAAGUCGCACCCAGCGUACUCUUCAGACAUCACCCCAUCUGAUUUUCAUCUAUUCAGAGCGAUACGGGCCAUCUGAUACACGGCUCCGAAAUGUUGAGGAAGUGCGAAAAUGGAUCGAUGAAUUGUUUCAAAAGAUGAGUCAUCUCAUCGGCGCAGGAUCAAACUAUUGCCCGAAAGAUGGCAAGAGGUUAUCGAUAGCAACGGCCAAUACUUUGAUUAUCAUACUUAAUAUUUAUCGUACUAUAAUACUUAUUAAUAUCAUAUGUCAUCUCAUUGUUAUUGAUCAAUAAAAAUGGC
Molecule: long non-coding RNA, 3170 nt
Organism: Odontomachus brunneus
Lineage: Eukaryota; Metazoa; Arthropoda; Insecta; Hymenoptera; Formicidae
Exons: 3
Source: RefSeq, a predicted model, not a curated record